AACGAACGCUGGCGGCGCGCCUAAUACAUGCAAGUCGAGCGAGAAGACGUAGCAAUACGUUUGUAAAGCGGCGAACGGGUGAGGAAUACAUGGGUAACCUACCCUCGAGUGGGAAUAACUAGCCGAAAGGUUAGCUAAUACCGCGUACGCUCCUUGGACUUCGGUUCAGGGAGGAAAGCGAUACCGUGGGUAUCGCGCUCUUGGAUGGGCUCAUGUCCUAUCAGCUUGUUGGUGAGGAACGGCUCACCAAGGCUUCGACGGGUAGCUGGUCUGAGAGGACGAUCAGCCACACUGGCACUGCGACACGGGCCAGACUCCUACGGGAGGCAGCAGUAAGGAUAUUGCGCAAUGGGCGAAAGCCUGACGCAGCGACGCCGCGUGGGGGAUGAAGGUCUUCGGAUUGU
RNAcentral lists this ribosomal RNA (404 nucleotides) under uncultured bacterium. RNAcentral's name for it is "bacterial SSU rRNA". It matches the Rfam family "Bacterial small subunit ribosomal RNA", at positions 29 to 426 of the family's 1533-position model. The record is from RNAcentral.